Molecule: long non-coding RNA, 2543 nt
Filed under: Sorghum bicolor (sorghum)
Lineage: Eukaryota; Viridiplantae; Streptophyta; Magnoliopsida; Poales; Poaceae
Description: long non-coding RNA (SBIC_LNC000895)
Source: RNAcentral
GUAUAGAAGUGCUCACUAAAGAAUUUUUAUGCACACUAAAAUUGACUCAUAACAUUUCGCAUGUGUGAGCAAGAGUGUAGUUGUACUUGGGGUCUUCUAACCACUGCUCUAGGUUGUGACUUUGAUUGUACAAUUGACUUAGACACUACCAUGCCUGUGUUUAACAAGAGUAGAUUUUGAUGAUUGCUCCACUCUCUUAACCUCUAAACUUCACAAUCCAACCUUGUGCUUAAUUUAUUUCUGGAUUACUACCAAUCUUUUUCCUGGUUCUUCUGACUCUCUAAAAGAUUAUGAACUAAAAUUGCUCUAUGCCAUGGUACACAAGAUUGAAAUUUCGCUUGUUAAAUUGAUGAUAAGAUUUUAGCUACUUACCCAUGACCCAACUUGGUCCCGCUGGUGUGUUGCCACCUGUAGGACCCUGCACUUGAUGUUUCCCAUGUCUUUGGAUUUCAGAAUGCUCAAGAAUCCAAGUGUGGGGGGUCAAGUGACCCCCACCUAAGUCUCUAAAUUUCCUGAACACACCAUGACGUAGUGCAUGGUGAGGCAAGUUGGCUCGACAAAUUCUACCCUAAGUAGGGGGUCGGCCGACCCCAUCUUUGAUGGCCAACGGGAACACAAGCUUGCAGAGGUACAUCAUCAACAAUGGGAAUUCAAAUGGCAGCAAUGGACAAGCCCAAGUGGGGUCGGCCGACCCACCUUGGAGCCCUGGACCCACCAGUUAGCAUCCACUCAACAUCUACUUGCCUUCUGACUGGAUUGCCACUCUUACUCCCCCUCUGCUCUUUCAUUUUUAUUACUUCUGUCUCUUGUUUGCUUUAAUAGAUAAAAUAACAAAAAAUAAAAACAUGAAGACUUGGAUCUAUGAUUUAUGACAUUAAAAGUGUGACAUGAUUCAUGACAUAAAAAUGGUAAAAGUGUCACAAAGUCUAAUUCUUGCUUAUGCUUAUACUUGUGGGUCACAUAUCUUGAUAGGAAUAUCACAUUGACUUGGUUGUUGACAAUUGUGAUAUAGUUAUUAGCUCUUGAUUCAUACCCUUUCUAUUCAAAGUGCUUAGAGAUUUAUUUUUGAAAAUAUCAUAAAACCAUAGUGUCACUUACUCCUCAAUAAUAAGAGAAUUCCUACCACAACCAUAUAUGUUCAUACCUUGUUCAAAACCCUUCUAUAUAUGCUACUUGUACUUGUGUUGAGUUUAGUCAAACCUUGUGACCCUAGUUGAGAAUUAUGUCAUAGUCCCAAGAUCAAGAUCACACACACCACAUAUAUAUGCUACUUCUACACUAGAAGUACACAAAUACAGGCCAUCCAUUUCACCAUAUAGAUGCUCCAUGUUUUAAGGUUUAGAAUAUCUCUCUCUAAGUAUUGUUUAUAAGAUGAGACACAAAGGCUAUGCUUAGUAAAAAAAAGUGGGCACAUGAAGGUCCAUUGCUUUUGAAAAAAAAGAAAAAAAACUAGCUAGGUCUCAAAUAAAAUAGAGAGAGACAUCUUAUCAAAUAGAGGAGCAUUCUAUUCUAAUCAUUUUCACACAUUUACACAUCUUGAUCUAGGAUUAUGACAUUCUUCUCAUUGGAUCCUUGUUUUGACUUUACAAUAGAUACAAUGCAAGUAUGCUAUCUUGUUUCUCCCUACCCGAGCCCCACAUAAGCCUAAUAGAUGUAGGAUGAAACAAAAGAAGGCAAUCUUAUGCUAUGCCUUGGUGAGGAAUCCUAUACUUACUGAGUGACUUAAGAGUACUAUUAGAGGAGUAAGGAUGAACUAUGUGCUUUCUUUUAAAACAUUUAUCAAAAACUCUAAGUACUAAGGAUAUGAAAAUGGGAAGAUGACUUUGCUUUGAGAAUUGUUCCAUUUUUCAACAUCCUAAGGAUAUAUUUUAGACAGUGCCAUAUAACCCACUUGUAUAAGAUAUGUCUUGAGUAGUCUUUGUUGUUGCUUAUAUCUUAAAAGUGUCAUAAUCACAGGUUAUCUUUCUCUAACCUUUGCUCGAGGACGAGCAUAGACUUAAGUGUGGGGGAUCUUGUUGACGGUAUUUUCACAAUGAUUUUUGACUACUAAAAUAAUCAACAAUGGAUAAGUUUUGGGGAUAACACCAAGCAACUAUGUAGUGACAUAGGUACAAUUCAAUUGGUUCCACAUGUACAUGUCAUUAUUUGGAUGCAGGUGCAAACAACCACUAAUCAAGUCUGAUAAAGCUCAAAUGAAGCAAAGAUGAUCACGAACCAAAACCACUGCAGAUCAACAAAAGAUUGAAGAUGACAAGUGGGGACAUCAUGUGGAGCAAGGUGGUGGGCCAACCCCCCAAGGGUAGGUCGGCCGACCCACCUUUGGUGGGGUCCCACCUGGCCGACACUCCCACCGACCUCAGCACCUUCUAGAAGCUUGGUGGGUCCCACAUGGAAGCAAUAGGUCGGUCGGCCGACCCUGACAUGUGGGCCCCCAAAGGUCAGUUUGCCUCCACCGACCUUCUGCAUGCCAAACAUGUGUGGAAAUACCUCCACCCUUGAUCUUUGGUGGUGGGAAGGUCGGUUUAUCCAAUGGUGCACGCUGG